This 74-nucleotide transfer RNA is filed under the name Vicugna pacos (alpaca). RNAcentral's name for it is "tRNA-Ala (AGC) (tRNA-Ala-AGC-520-1)". It matches the Rfam family "tRNA". From Rfam's summary of the family: Transfer RNA (tRNA) molecules are approximately 80 nucleotides in length. Lineage: Eukaryota; Metazoa; Chordata; Mammalia; Artiodactyla; Camelidae. The record is from RNAcentral.
GGAGGGUAUAGCUCAAGUGGUAGAGUGCAUGCUUAGCAUGCAUGAGGUCCUGGGUUCAAUCCCCAGUGCCUCCA